AAAGUUUGGGAUUCCCAGUCUACAAAACCCCACAGCUCCUAGGAAUUCUCUCACCACCCUUGUGCCUUUAGGCUUCGGUAGAUUGCAAAUGACCUGCUUUCUUUCGGAUCCCGGGCUGCUUUCGGACACCUGUCGAAUAGUAAAUCCCAAGUAAGGUACCUGCGGUCGUCGGCAGAUCUGAAUUUUCUUCUUGGACACCUAAUACCCACAGUCCUCCAGAGACCGAGAGGUUGAUGUCACUCCCAAUAUCGGAGGAAGUAUACACCCCCGUGUGAGAUGGUCCUUAAUAAUAUUCCACGGCGGAGGGGGUGAUAUGACUACAUACAUGGCAGAAAGUGGAAACCUCCCAGGGAUAUUGUUCCCACGAUCCUGGAGGGAAGAAGAUGAUGUUACUUUCAAUAUGACAGAAGGUGGAUGAAGUGGUGGACUGCCCCUCCACACCUGUGGACACGCCCCCACUGAUAUUCCUUCUAAUUGCAGCGUGGGAGAGGAGGAUAUGACACGCGAUAUCGCAGGGAGUAGAAACACCCCUGUGAUACUGUUCUUAAUAUUCAGGGAGGAAGAGGAUGAUAUUACUCCCAAUACAGACGGGUGUACACCCUCUGUACACCGAGGGUGUACACCUGUCUGUGAAAGAGUUCGUAAUCUCCAGAGGGGGAGAUGAUAUUACUCACAAUAUGGUAAAGAGGCUGUGAGUCCACGGAGGAUCCUCAGAGCCAGCGGGGGAAGAGGGGCUGGCUCUCAGUCCCCGCCUCGCGGGGGUGACUCCCCCCAGUGCGAUGGGGGUCCUAAGAGCCAGUGGGGGAAGAGGGGCUGGCUCUGAGACCCCGCCUCGCGGGGGGUGCCUCCCCGCCCUGUGAUGGGGGUCCGAAGAGCCAGAAGGCUUAGAGGGGCUGGCUCUCAGUCCCCGCCUCGCGGGGGGUGCCUCCUCCCCCUGCGAUGGGGGUCGUAAGAGCCACUGGGGGAAUAGGGGCUUGCUCUCAGUCACCGCCUCGCGGGGGGUGCCUCCUUUCCUUUCUACAUAGACACAGUGACAGUCUGAUCUCUCUUUCUUUUCCCUACAGAUGGACACGCCCCCACUGAUAUUGUUUUUAAUGCAGCGUGGGAGGGGAGGAUAUGACACGCGAUAUCGCAGGUAGUAGAAACACCCCUUUGAUAGUGUUCUUAAUAUUCAGGGAGGAAGAAGAUGAUGUUACUCCCAAUACAGACGGAUGUACACCCUCUGUACACCGAGGGUGUACACCCGUCUGUGAAGGAGUUCGUAAUCUCCAGAGGUGGAGAUGAUAUUACUCACAAUAUGGUAAACAGGCUGUGAGUCCAUCGCGGAUCCUCAGAGCCAGGUGGGGAAGAGGGGCUGGCUGUCAGUCCCCUCCUCGCGGGGGGUGCCUCCCCCACUGCUAUGGGGAUCCCAAGAGCCAGUGGGGGAAGAGGUGCUGGCUCUCAGUCUCCGCCUCGCGAGGUGCCUCCCCACCCUGCGAUCGGGGUCCGAAGAGCCAGGGGGGAAGAGGGGCUGGCUCUCUUCGUGGAUGAUUCUUUUUCCAUUCUCAGGCAGUUUUCUUUUUUCUUUCUUUCUUUUUUUUUUUUUUUGAGACUGAGUCUUGCUCUGUUGCCCAUGCUUUGCUCGAUCUCGGGUGACUGCAACCACUGCCUCCCAGGUUCAAGAGAUUCUCCUGCCUCAGCCUCCUGAGUAGCUGGGACUAGAGGCGUGUGUCACCACACCCAGCUAAUUUUUGUAUUUUUAGUAGAGAUGGGGUUUCACCAUGUUUGCCAGGAUGGUCUCUAUCUCCUGCCCUUGUGAUCCACCCACCUCAGCCUCCCAAAGUGCUGGGAUUGCAGGUGCGAGCCACCGGGUCCAGCCUCUCAGGCGAUUUUCAUACCUGCAUACUCUGGUCACUACUCUGUUAAACAGUCAAGGAGGGUAAGUAUUAUCUUCAGAUUUCCAGAGCUCUGUCUCUGUACAGCCCUCUCCUCCUCAAUAUUCUGCCCUAUGAAUUCUAGCCACAUUGGCCUUCCCAGGCUCACAGUUCUGUCUUCUCAACUCAGGAAGAUCUCUGAGUUCCAUCUGCAUUCUUUCUUCCUGUGCUGUGGCCUGGAAAGUUUUCUAAGGUGUUAGGGAGGUCAAUUGUGGGGCUAGCCUCAUUUGUUUCUCAUCUCUUGAGGAUCACUGCCCUUUGAUGCUUGAUUCCAGUGAUUGAUUCCCUUUGUUGCUUGAGGGCCAUAGUUUCAUAUAUUUUGUCCAGUAGUUUUGUUGUUUUAGGUCAGAAAGUAAUUUUGGUCUCUGUUACUCUAUCUUGGCCAGAAGUGUAAGACCUAAGCAUUUACACAUCAAAAUACUGCACACAUAAUUUUAGUUUAAGCUACUUUUUAAAAAAUCUCCUUCAUUUUCCAUUUAGCAUUCUAUUUAGGGUAUUACAUUGGUUUUUUUGAAAUUCUGUUAUUGGCAGUUUCUAUUGCCUAUCAAUCCCAUUUAAAGAUAGUGCAUAGGGUAUUCUAAAAUAGCUGUUAAGCAAAGAGAAAAUUGGGCCUGAUAGGGUGAGAAUCACAGCUCUAAUACCUAGAGUGACCUUAUAAUGUAUUGUCCAAAGGAGAUAUUUUUGACAGUGAAAGAGGGUGUUGUUAGUAAUUAUAUCAGGACCAUGGCCUAAACCAGGACUAUCCCAGGAAGCCUGGGACAUAUUUGUACCCCAUCUCUAUUUAAUGCCUUUAUACAAUUCUUUACUUAAUUCUACCAGCCUUUAUUGAGCCUGCUUUCUUUGUCUAGCUGAGUGCCACGUGCUGACGUCACUAAGAUCAAUACAGCAAACUCUGAAAGAUGGACAGAGAGACAGGAGAUGGUCCUUUAUAAUGCAGUGUGAUCUGUGCUGCAAUAGAGUUUUGGAAGCUAGAAGUUCAAAACGAGGUGUUGGCAGCACCAUGCUCUCUCUGAAGAUGCUAGGAAGAAUCUGCUCCAUGCCUUUCCAUUCGCUUCUGGGGUUUCCUGCAAGCCCUGACAUUCCUUGGCUUGUAGAUGCAUCACCCCAGUUUCCGCCCCCAUCAUCACAUGGCCUCCUCUCUGUGUGUGCCUCUGCGUUCCCUCUAUUCUUCUUCUAAGGACACCGACACCAGUCAUAGUGGAUUAAGUGUCCACUCCUAACCAAUUACAUCUGCAACAACCCUAUUUCCAAAUAAAGUCACAUUCUAAG
Molecule: long non-coding RNA, 3182 nt
Filed under: Homo sapiens (human)
Lineage: Eukaryota; Metazoa; Chordata; Mammalia; Primates; Hominidae
Description: non-protein coding lnc-FOXD4L6-1:5
Source: RNAcentral